AUGGUCCCCAGGCUCCUCUUCUCUGUGGCCCUGUGUCUCCUGGGGGCAGGACCCCUGGAUGCAGGAAUCACCCAAAGACCAAGGUACGUGAUCACGAGGAGAGGAAAGAAGGUGACACUGAGCUGUCACCAGACUGAUAGACAUAACGCUUUGUCUUGGUAUGGACAAGACCCGGGCCACGGGCUGAGGCGGAUCUAUUUCUCAGUGGGUGUUGGGCUCAUCAGCAAAGGGCAGGUCCCCGAAGGAUACAGUGUCAAUAGAUCAAAUAUCGAGGACUUCCCCCUCACGCUGGAGUCGGCCACCCCCUCCCAGACAUCUGUGUACUUCUGCGCCAGCAGUGAAGGAGCAAGUGCACAGUGCUGCACGGCGGCCUCCUCUCUGCACACAAAGGCCCGAGGAGGCCCUGCUGCCCCUGGGUCUUGGGGAGCCCUGUGCAAACUCCUACCUGGGAGCCCCAGUCGCCUGUGCCGGCAGGGCACCCUUGGUGUGUGGUGGGAUCCCCUCCAGGGCAGUGUCUGCCAGGCCAGGACCGCCCAGGGCCUUGGGCACACGUGUCUGCCCUGUGGCCGGCUGUCCGUCUACCUGUCCUCUGCUGUGGCUCAAUUGGCAGGAAGGCUGUUGCGCCAGCUCUAG
Non-coding RNA from Pteronotus mesoamericanus, 633 nucleotides. The record is from the annotation of a RefSeq genome assembly. NCBI's taxonomy places the organism in Eukaryota, Metazoa, Chordata, Mammalia, Chiroptera, Mormoopidae.